Molecule: ribosomal RNA, 513 nt
Filed under: uncultured bacterium
Lineage: Bacteria
Description: partial 16S ribosomal RNA
Rfam family: Bacterial small subunit ribosomal RNA
Source: RNAcentral
GACGAACGCUGGCGGCGUGCUUAACACAUGCAAGUCGAACGAAAAGAGGGAAAGAGCUUGCUCUUUCCGGAAUUGAGUGGCAAACGGGUGAGUAACACGUAAACAACCUGCCUUCAGGAUGGGGACAACAGACGGAAACGACUGCUAAUACCGAAUAAGUUCCAAGGGCCGCAUGGCCCAUGGAAGAAAAGGUGGCCUCUACCUGUAAGCUAUCGCCUGAAGAGGGGUUUGCGUCUGAUUAGCUGGUUGGAGGGGUAACAGCCCACCAAGGCGACGAUCAGUAGCCGGUCUGAGAGGAUGAACGGCCACACUGGAACUGAGACACGGUCCAGACUCCUACGGGAGGCAGCAGUGGGGAAUCUUCCGCAAUGGGCGAAAGCCUGACGGAGCAACGCCGCGUGAGUGAUGACGGCCUUCGGGUUGUAAAACUCUGUGAUCCGGCACGAAAAGGCAGAGUGCGAAGAACAAACUGCAUUGACGGUACCGGAAAAGCAAGCCACGGCUAACUACGUG